Molecule: non-coding RNA, 511 nt
Organism: Pteropus alecto (black flying fox)
Lineage: Eukaryota; Metazoa; Chordata; Mammalia; Chiroptera; Pteropodidae
Source: the annotation of a RefSeq genome assembly
AGGAAGCAGAGACUGGGGCAUCUCUACCAUGGCCUGGGCUCCUCUCCUCCUCACCUUCCUUGCUCACUGUGCAGGAGGGUCUUGGGCCGAGUUUGUGCUGACUCAGCCCCACUCCAUGUCGGGGUCUCCGGGGCAGAAGGCCAUCAUCUCCUGCACCCGGAGCAGUGGCAGCAUUGGUGGCUACUAUGUGCACUGGUACCAGCAGCGCCCGGGCAGUGCCCCCAACACCGUGAUCUAUAAGGACAACGAAAGGCCCUCUGGGGUUCCGGACCGGUUCUCUGGCUCCAUUGACAGCUCCUCCAACAGCGCCUACCUGACCAUCUCUGGGCUGCAGCCUGAAGACGAGGCGGACUACUACUGUCAGUCUUAUGACAGCAACAGUAAUAAGCACAGUACUUCAGGCCCCUGGGGAAGUGAGACCAAAACUCUGCAGAGUGUCCCUGUUCUGGGUCUUCCCUCACCCAUCCCCACCAAGGAGGGUGCUCUUUCCUGUCUUCUGCUUGAGUGCUAA